Molecule: ribosomal RNA, 433 nt
Filed under: uncultured bacterium
Lineage: Bacteria
Description: bacterial SSU rRNA
Rfam family: Bacterial small subunit ribosomal RNA
Source: RNAcentral
UACGGAAGGCAGCAGUGGGGAAUAUUGCACAAUGGGCGCAAGCCUGAUGCAGCCAUGCCGCGUGUAUGAAGAAGGCCUUCGGGUUGUAAAGUACUUUCAGUCGUGAGGAAGGUGUUAAGGUUAAUAACCUUAGCAAUUGACGUUAGCGACAGAAGAAGCACCGGCUAACUCCGUGCCAGCAGCCGCGGUAAUACGGAGGGUGCGAGCGUUAAUCGGAAUUACUGGGCGUAAAGGGCACGCAGGCGGUUAAUUAAGUUGGAUGUGAAAUCCCCGGGCUUAACCUGGGAAUGGCAUUCAAGCUGGUUAGCUAGAGUCUUGUAGAGGGGGUAGAAUUCCAUGUGUAGCGGUGAAAUGCGUAGAGAUGUGGAGGAAUACCGGUGGCGAAGGCGGCCCCUGGGACAAAGGCUGACGCUCAUGUGCGAAAGCGUGGGGA